AUUGAACGCUGGCGGCAUGCUUUUACACAUGCAAGUCGAGCGGCAGCGCGGGGCAACCUGGCGGCGAGCGGCGAACGGGUGAGUAAAUAGAUAGGAAACGUAUCCGGGAGUGGGGGAUAACUAGCCGAAAGGUUAGCUAAUACCGCAUAUUCUCUUAGGAGGAAAGCGGGGGACUUCUAAACCGGUGGCAUCUGGGUGGUCAGGUGUGACGGGUUUAGAAGCCUCGCGCUCGCGGAGUGGCCUAUCUCCGAUUAGCUAGUUGGUGAGGUAAAGGCUCACCAAGGCGACGAUCGGUAGCUGGUCUGAGAGGAUGAUCAGCCACACUGGGACUGAGACACGGCCCAGACUCCUACGGGAGGCAGCAGU
RNAcentral lists this ribosomal RNA (366 nucleotides) under uncultured bacterium. Its description in RNAcentral is "bacterial SSU rRNA". It matches the Rfam family "Bacterial small subunit ribosomal RNA", at positions 30 to 355 of the family's 1533-position model. The record is from RNAcentral.